This 698-nucleotide ribosomal RNA is filed under the name Escherichia coli. RNAcentral's name for it is "partial 23S ribosomal RNA". It matches the Rfam family "Bacterial large subunit ribosomal RNA", at positions 2245 to 2925 of the family's 2925-position model. The record is from RNAcentral. Lineage: Bacteria; Pseudomonadati; Pseudomonadota; Gammaproteobacteria; Enterobacterales; Enterobacteriaceae.
UUGCGGACAGUGUCUGGUGGGUAGUUUGACUGGGGCGGUCUCCUCCUAAAGAGUAACGGAGGAGCACGAAGGUUGGCUAAUCCUGGUCGGACAUCAGGAGGUUAGUGCAAUGGCAUAAGCCAGCUUGACUGCGAGCGUGACGGCGCGAGCAGGUGCGAAAGCAGGUCAUAGUGAUCCGGUGGUUCUGAAUGGAAGGGCCAUCGCUCAACGGAUAAAAGGUACUCCGGGGAUAACAGGCUGAUACCGCCCAAGAGUUCAUAUCGACGGCGGUGUUUGGCACCUCGAUGUCGGCUCAUCACAUCCUGGGGCUGAAGUAGGUCCCAAGGGUAUGGCUGUUCGCCAUUUAAAGUGGUACGCGAGCUGGGUUUAGAACGUCGUGAGACAGUUCGGUCCCUAUCUGCCGUGGGCGCUGGAGAACUGAGGGGGGCUGCUCCUAGUACGAGAGGACCGGAGUGGACGCAUCACUGGUGUUCGGGUUGUCAUGCCAAUGGCACUGCCCGGUAGCUAAAUGCGGACGAGAUAAGUGCUGAAAGCAUCUAAGCACGAAACUUGCCCCGAGAUGAGUUCUCCCUGACUCCUUGAGAGUCCUGAAGGAACGUUGAAGACGACGACGUUGAUAGGCCGGGUGUGUAAGCGCAGCGAUGCGUUGAGCUAACCGGUACUAAUGAACCGUGAGGCUUAACCUUACAACGCCGAAG